GAUGAACGCUGGCGGCGUGCCUAAUACAUGCAAGUAGAACGCUGAAGCUUGGUGCUUGCACCGAGCGGAUGAGUUGCGAACGGGUGAGUAACGCGUAGGUAACCUGCCUCUUAGCGGGGGAUAACUAUUGGAAACGAUAGCUAAUACCGCAUAAAAGUCGACAUCGCAUGAUGUUGACUUGAAAGGUGCAAUUGCAUCACUAAGAGAUGGACCUGCGUUGUAUUAGCUAGUUGGUGAGGUAACGGCUCACCAAGGCGACGAUACAUAGCCGACCUGAGAGGGUGAUCGGCCACACUGGGACUGAGACACGGCCCAGACUCCUACGGGAGGCAGCAGUAGGGAAUCUUCGGCAAUGGGGGCAACCCUGACCGGGCAACGCCGCGUGAGUGAAGAAGGUUUUCGGAUCGUAAAGCUCUGUUGUAAGAGAAGAACGAGUGUGAGAGUGGAAAGUUCACACUGUGACGGUAACUUACCAGAAAGGGACGGCUAACUACGUG
This 497-nucleotide ribosomal RNA is filed under the name uncultured bacterium. RNAcentral's name for it is "partial 16S ribosomal RNA". It matches the Rfam family "Bacterial small subunit ribosomal RNA", at positions 28 to 507 of the family's 1533-position model. The record is from RNAcentral.